ACUCCCACAACCUGAAAGUGCAGAGAGUUAACUACCAGUCUCAUCUCUUUCUUCACUUUCACAUGACAGAGCUGAUCCCAUCAUCACUAAACAGCGGUUGGAAACUUGACAAUGGUAAAUGUGUCCCCCUUAGAUACACAAAGCCAUGCCUAUCCAAAGACCUUCUGGGAUCCUUGCAGGACGUGGCUGAAGAUGACAUGUCUGAUGAAAGUGAUGGAGACAAUGAUUACAGUUAGAGGAAAAAAUACCAAAA
Molecule: long non-coding RNA, 253 nt
Organism: Thalassophryne amazonica
Lineage: Eukaryota; Metazoa; Chordata; Actinopteri; Batrachoidiformes; Batrachoididae
Exons: 3
Source: RefSeq, a predicted model, not a curated record